AUGAGUCUGACUCACAACUGGAGACCUUUUCUCACCAUGAUGGCCAGUGCAAAGGCAAGGGCACUCCCAGCCCACACACUGCAUUCGUGCAGUCUCUCAGGUACUUGUUUCACCUGUUUCACAUACUUUAAAAUAAGUGACUGUACCUCACUUCUUAAAUUCCAAGGUACUUCAGUUCCAGGCCUGCCAGCCAGGCUGGAUGAUACUGUCCCUUCUGCUGACAGGAGCACAAAGCGGGGAGCCUACGAGACACACUCAUUGAGCCACAGGCCUGUCACAGGCAGGCUCUGGUGGAAGCAGGUGAACUUAUAAGGAAACUGGUAAGGAACAUCUGUCUCUCUCUGAUCCUAGGGAACUGAAAUCACUUCUUGGAGACUUUAAGAAGGUGAUGGUAACCAGGAGCAGCCUUAAGACAGCUCUGAUUUCCAACUCAAUAUUGGCUUGGUAUGUGGAUGACUCAGUGCAAAAGCCAGGAAUAUUUUCACACCCUAUGCUACUGGCAGAAGAAAAACCCCAAGGAAAACUCUAGUCCUCCUAGCUUCUGAAAGAAGUCCUGCAAGAAUUUGACUGAAUUUCUGUUAAAGAAUUUCUACUUCUACAGUUUCUACCAUGACCAGGAACAAAGCCAUCUUUUUCCAUUCACAGUAAUGCCCAUUAUUUAUCAGUUAGAUAUAUGGUGCGAUGAGUUUUGACUUAAAAUACAGUGUUGCUUCAGUAUUCAGGAAGUGAAGUCAGAGAGAAUUAUGAUAUCCUGAAGGUAUGGUUAAAGGAGCCCCUAGACCUUGGGCUUUUAAAUAAGUUUGCAAAGACUUAUUAAUGGAGAAUGUACCACAUAAUCCAUCUAAAUAAUUUACUGUUAACUAUUCUGCCAAAGGAAAGAUUCUCAUUCAAACAUAGUUUGUGUGUGUGUGUGUGUUUUGGGUUUUAGUGUUUAG
This 935-nucleotide long non-coding RNA is filed under the name Anser brachyrhynchus (Pink-footed goose). RNAcentral's name for it is "lncRNA (ENSABRG00000010088.1)". The record is from RNAcentral. Lineage: Eukaryota; Metazoa; Chordata; Aves; Anseriformes; Anatidae.